RNAcentral lists this ribosomal RNA (253 nucleotides) under uncultured bacterium. RNAcentral describes it as "partial 16S ribosomal RNA". It matches the Rfam family "Bacterial small subunit ribosomal RNA", at positions 524 to 776 of the family's 1533-position model. The record is from RNAcentral.
UACGAAGGUGGCUAGCGUUAUUCGGAAUUACUGGGCGUAAAGCGCACGCAGGCGGUUAAGUAAGUCAGCGGUGAAAUCCCGGGGCUCAACCUCGGGACUGCGUUUGAUACUGCUGAUCUCGAGUCCGGAAGAGGGGAGUGGAAUUCCUGGUGUAGAGGUGAAAUUCGUAGAUAUUAGGAGGAACACCAGUGGCGAAGGCGGCUCACUGGUGCGGUACUGACGCUGAGGUGCGAAAGCGUGGGGAGCAAACAGG